RNAcentral lists this ribosomal RNA (270 nucleotides) under uncultured bacterium. RNAcentral describes it as "partial 16S ribosomal RNA". It matches the Rfam family "Bacterial small subunit ribosomal RNA", at positions 88 to 354 of the family's 1533-position model. The record is from RNAcentral.
CCGGCGACCGGCGCACGGGUGAGUAACGCGUAUGCAACCUGGCCGUGACAGAUGGAUAACCGGGAGAAAUCCCGCCUAAUACAACAUAAUGCCGGGAGGGGACAUCCCCUGCCGGUCAAAGGGGGCGACCCCGGUCAUGGAUGGGCAUGCGGCGCAUUAGGUAGUUGGUGGGGCAACGGCCCACCAAGCCGACGAUGCGUAGGGGUUCUGAGAGGAAGGUCCCCCACAUUGGAACUGAGACACGGUCCAAACUCCUACGGGAGGCAGCAG